AGUGAACGCUGGCGGCGUGCCUAACACAUGCAAGUCGAACGAUGAUGAUGGAGCUUGCUCUAUCUGAUUAGUGGCGCACGGGUGAGUAAUGCAUAGAUAAUGUGCCCCUUAGUUCGGGAUAGCCACUGGAAACGGUGAUUAAUACCGGAUACUCCUUCUUGUCUCAAGGCAAGUCGGGAAAGUUUUUCGCUAAGGGAUCAGUCUAUGUUCCAUCAGGUAGUUGGUGAGGUAAUGGCUCACCAAGCCUAUGACGGAUAUCUGGUUUGAGAGGAUGAUCAGACACAAUGGAACUGAGACACGGUCCAGACUCCUAGGGGAGGCAGCAGUGAGGAAUAUUGCACAAGGGAGGAAGCUGUGAUGCAGCAGCGCCGGGUGGAGGAUGACGCAUUUCGGUGUGUAAACUCCUCUUAUUAGGGAAGAUAAUGACGGUACCUAAUGAAAAAGCACCGGCUAACCCCGUGCCAGCCGCCGCCGUAA
RNAcentral lists this ribosomal RNA (477 nucleotides) under uncultured bacterium. Its description in RNAcentral is "partial 16S ribosomal RNA". It matches the Rfam family "Bacterial small subunit ribosomal RNA", at positions 29 to 523 of the family's 1533-position model. The record is from RNAcentral.